This 468-nucleotide ribosomal RNA is filed under the name uncultured bacterium. Its description in RNAcentral is "partial 16S ribosomal RNA". It matches the Rfam family "Bacterial small subunit ribosomal RNA", at positions 28 to 507 of the family's 1533-position model. The record is from RNAcentral.
GACGAACGCUGGCGGCGUGCUUAACACAUGCAAGUCGAACGGAAAGACCCUGCUUUUGUGGGGUGCUCGAGUGGCGAACGGGUGCGUAACACGUGAGUAACCUGCCCUUGACUUUGGGAUAACUUCAGGAAACUGGGGCUAAUACCGGAUAGGAGCUCCUGCUGCAUGGUGGGGGUUGGAAAGUUUCGGCGGUUGGGGAUGGACUCGCGGCUUAUCAGCUUGUUGGUGGGGUAGUGGCUUACCAAGGCUUUGACGGGUAGCCGGCCUGAGAGGGUGACCGGCCACAUUGGGACUGAGAUACGGCCCAGACUCCUACGGGAGGCAGCAGUGGGGAAUAUUGCACAAUGGGCGGAAGCCUGAUGCAGCAACGCCGCGUGCGGGAUGACGGCCUUCGGGUUGUAAACCGCUUUCGCCUGUGACGAAGCGUGAGUGACGGUAAUGGGUAAAGAAGCACCGGCUAACUACGUG